AAAAUAUGUAUUAAAUUUUUUUGUUGUUUUUGUUUCUUCUCUCAUUUUAUAACGUUAGUGUGAAUGAAACUUUCAACAUGGUCGGUGUAGCGACGACGACGACGGAGUAUAACACUUGAAUAGGAAAAAAAAGAAGAAAAACAAGAAAAAGAGAAAAAUAAUAAAACGAAUAAUAAAUUUGGCUUUGUUGUAAUUUAAGUAAAGCAAAAUAUAAUUUUAUUUAUUAUGGAUAGUGUAAAAAUGUAAAUUACGAAAAGGAUUAAAAUUAUUUUUUAUUUAAUUAGAAAAAUCAAUGAUAUUUAUUAAAAAAAAAUAUUUUAACAAUUAAAAAAAAUAAAAUAUAUUUAUUUAGAGUGGUACACAAAUAAUAUUGUAUUAAAAAUAUAAAAACAAAACAAUAAAAAAAUAUAACACUAUAAAACAAUUUUUAUAAAAAAAAUUUGACAGAUGAAAUUUAACUUUUCAACUAUAAAUGAAGAAAAGAAGCAAGAAACCUUUUAAAGUAAGACAACUCAUAUACGUUUAGAGAAAAAAAACACUUAUUUGAGCUAAAAUUCAGCUCUCAAAUUAUGUCUCUUGCUUAAUAUCACAUCAAACAAUAUAUAUAUAUAUCUAUAUACAUACAUAAUUGAUAAAUUAUUAUUCUCCCAUCUUAUUGAGAUUCUCUCAUCAUAUAUAUAUAUAUAUAUAUAUAUAAGAAAUUGAAGAAGCGGAAAGAAGCAAAAAAGAAGAAAAGCUAAACAAAAAGUUAUUUAUUCAAAACCUUUUUUUUUUUUAAAUUUUUUUUUUUU
Molecule: long non-coding RNA, 791 nt
Organism: Condylostylus longicornis
Lineage: Eukaryota; Metazoa; Arthropoda; Insecta; Diptera; Dolichopodidae
Exons: 3
Source: RefSeq, a predicted model, not a curated record